Molecule: ribosomal RNA, 498 nt
Filed under: uncultured bacterium
Lineage: Bacteria
Description: partial 16S ribosomal RNA
Rfam family: Bacterial small subunit ribosomal RNA
Source: RNAcentral
AUUGAACGCUGGCGGCAUGCUUUACACAUGCAAGUCGAACGGUAACAGGCCGCAAGGUGCUGACGAGUGGCGAACGGGUGAGUAAUGCAUCGGAACGUGCCCAGUCGUGGGGGAUAACGCAGCGAAAGCUGUGCUAAUACCGCAUACGAUCUAUGGAUGAAAGCGGGGGACCGUAAGGCCUCGGGCGAUUGGAGCGGCAGAUGUCAGAUUAGGUAGUUGGUGGGGUAAAGGCCCACCAAGCCAACGAUCUGUAGCUGGUCUGAGAGGACGAGCAGCCACACUGGGACUGAGACACGGCCCCGACUCCUACGGGAGGCAGCAGUUGUGAAUUUUAGACAAUGGUCGCAAGCCUGAUCCAGCAAUGCCGCGUGCAGGAAGAAGGCCUUCGGUUUGUAAACUGCUUUUGUACGGAACGAAAAGGUUUGGGUUAAUACCCUGGGCCGAUGACGGUACCGUAAGAAUAAGCACCGGCUAACUACGUGCCAGCCGCCGCGGUAA